UUGAUCCUGGCUCAGAACGAACGCUGGCGGCGUGGAUAAGACAUGCAAGUCGCACGGAGAAAAGAUAGUUUACUAGCUUUUCUGAGUGGCGCACGGGUGAGUAACACGUGAGCAACCUGCCUCUUAGUGGGGGAUAGCCCUGGGAAACCGGGAUUAAUACCGCAUAUCAUCGCAAGAUGAAAGCAGCAAUGCGCUAAGAGAGGGGCUCGCGGCCUAUUAGUUAGUUGGUGAGGUAACGGCUCACCAAGGCGAUGACGGGUAGCCGGUCUGAGAGGAUGUCCGGCCACACUGGAACUGAGACACGGUCCAGACACCUACGGGUGGCAGCAGUCGAGAAUCAUUCACAAUGGGGGAAACCCUGAUGGUGCGACGCCGCGUGGGGGAAGAAGGUCUUCGGAUUGUAAACCCCUGUCACGUGGGAGCAAGCUAGCAAUAGUUGAUAGUACCACAAGAGGAAGAGACGGCUAACUCUGUGCCAGCAGCCGCGGUAAUACAGAGGUCUCAAGCGUUGUUCGGAAUCACUGGGCGUAAAGGGUACGUAGGCUGUACCAUAAGUCGGGCGUGAAAGGCAGGGGCUCAACCUCUGGAGUGCGCUUGAUACUGUGGUACUUGAGUCAU
This 618-nucleotide ribosomal RNA is filed under the name uncultured bacterium. RNAcentral describes it as "bacterial SSU rRNA". It matches the Rfam family "Bacterial small subunit ribosomal RNA", at positions 13 to 650 of the family's 1533-position model. The record is from RNAcentral.